This 97-nucleotide ribosomal RNA is filed under the name Corallococcus exiguus. RNAcentral also lists the same sequence under 3 other names. The record is from RNAcentral. Lineage: Bacteria; Pseudomonadati; Myxococcota; Myxococcia; Myxococcales; Myxococcaceae.
GGUCACACCCGUUCCCAUCCCGAACACGGAAGUUAAGCCCUCCAGAGCCGAUGGUACUCCGCGGGAAACCGCGUGGGAGAGUAGGUCGCUGCCGGAU